AUUGAACGCUGGCGGCAGGCCUAACACAUGCAAGUCGAACGGUAGCACAGAGGAGCUUGCUCCUCGGGUGACGAGUGGCGGACGGGUGAGUAAUGUCUGGGGAUCUGCCCGAUAGAGGGGGAUAACCACUGGAAACGGUGGCUAAUACCGCAUAACGUCGCAAGACCAAAGAGGGGGACCUUCGGGCCUCUCACUAUCGGAUGAACCCAGAAGGGAUUAGCUAGUAGGCGGGGUAACGGCCCACCUAGGCGACGACCCCUAGCUGGUCUGAGAGGAUGACCAGCCACACUGGAACUGAGCCACGGUCCAGACUCCUACGGGAGGCAGCAGUGGGGAAUAUUGCACAAUGGGCGCAAGCCUGAUGCAGCCAUGCCGCGUGUAUGAAGAAGGCCUUCGGGUUGUAAAGUACUUUCAGCGGGGAGGAAGGCGAUGUGGUUAAUAACCGCGUCGAUUGACGUUACCCGCAGAAGAAGCACCGGCUAACUCCGUGCCAGCCGCCGCGGUAA
RNAcentral lists this ribosomal RNA (506 nucleotides) under uncultured bacterium. RNAcentral's name for it is "partial 16S ribosomal RNA". It matches the Rfam family "Bacterial small subunit ribosomal RNA", at positions 29 to 523 of the family's 1533-position model. The record is from RNAcentral.